Long non-coding RNA from Morone saxatilis (striped sea-bass), 631 nucleotides. RefSeq lists it as uncharacterized. Lineage: Eukaryota; Metazoa; Chordata; Actinopteri; Moronidae. The record is from RefSeq and is a predicted model, not a curated record. The transcript has 3 exons.
AAAGGUGUGCGUCACAGACCCCGCCAGCCAUUGCAUCCAGACAUUAGAAAACAAAGCUCCCAUCUGCUUUGACAGAGAAUGGAACAAGGCCAGGGUCGUUCUGUGUCUUCAUCCUACCUCGGGUGGUCCAUCUUUAACACUUUAUGCUGUUGUCUGCCUCUAGGCAUUGUUGCCAUUGUCUUCUCCUCCAAGGCACAAAAUGCUAAUGCUCGUGGGGAAUCAGCUCAAGCAGAAGAUGCUUCGAGGACAGCCAGGAACAUAAAUAUCAUUGCACUUGUCUGUGGGAUAAUUAUGAUCAUCACUGUCAUUGUUCUCACGACCACCAACAUAAUUUAAAGGUUUAAUUAGAGGGCUGGUGCGCCAGAUGCAGGGACAUGUCCAUCAGGCAGUUGGGGAGGAGGAGGUACAUUAGGGGCAGAGCCAAGUGCUGACUGCGAGGCUUCUGCUGCAUGGGCAGCUGAGAGUCAGGUUGCUGCUGCAGGGUCAGUGCCUGAAAUGGGCCACUACUCACAGGUACUGUUUUGUUUUUUUGUCCAUGAGUACCCUUAUUUCUCACUGCAUACCACCACCUCCUGGUGAAUCUAGGUAAAUACUUGGGUAACACUUAAUUUCUUUCCUACCGGCAUUCUAC